Molecule: unclassified non-coding RNA, 231 nt
Filed under: uncultured fungus
Lineage: Eukaryota; Fungi
Description: sequence contains ITS1, 5.8S rRNA gene
Rfam family: 5.8S ribosomal RNA (bases 183-231)
Source: RNAcentral
UUUCCGUAGGUGAACCUGCGGAAGGAUCAUUAGUGAAUAAUAGGACGUUCCAUUUAACUGGAAGUCCGAACUCUCACUUUCUAACCCUGUGCAUUUGUUUUGGCUAGUAGGAUGCUUGCGUCCGAACACCUCUUCAUUUACAAACACAAAGUCUAUGAAUGUUUAAUUUUAUAACAAAACAAAACUUUCAACAACGGAUCUCUUGGCUCUCGCAUCGAUGAAGAACGCAGC